This 467-nucleotide ribosomal RNA is filed under the name uncultured bacterium. RNAcentral's name for it is "partial 16S ribosomal RNA". It matches the Rfam family "Bacterial small subunit ribosomal RNA", at positions 28 to 507 of the family's 1533-position model. The record is from RNAcentral.
GACGAACGCUGGCGGCGUGCUUAACACAUGCAAGUCGAACGGAAAGGCCUAGCUUGCUGGGUACUCGAGUGGCGAACGGGUGAGUAACACGUGGGUGAUCUGCCCCUGACUUUGGGAUAAGCCUGGGAAACUGGGUCUAAUACCGGAUAUUCAUUUUUCCUCGCAUGGGGAUUUGUGGAAAGCUUUUGCGGUUGGGGAUGGGCCCGCGGCCUAUCAGCUUGUUGGUGGGGUAAUGGCCUACCAAGGCGGCGACGGGUAGCCGACCUGAGAGGGUGAUCGGCCACAUUGGGACUGAGACACGGCCCAGACUCCUACGGGAGGCAGCAGUGGGGAAUAUUGCACAAUGGGCGCAAGCCUGAUGCAGCAACGCCGCGUGAGGGAUGACGGCCGUCGGGUUGUAAACCGCUUUCGCCUGCGACGAAGCGCGAGUGACGGUAGGGGGAAAAGAAGCACCGGCCAACUACGUG